Molecule: long non-coding RNA, 1594 nt
Organism: Peromyscus californicus insignis
Lineage: Eukaryota; Metazoa; Chordata; Mammalia; Rodentia; Cricetidae
Exons: 6
Source: RefSeq, a predicted model, not a curated record
GUGAAAGGUCUUCCUUGUGCGCUUGCAGAGCAUUAGUCUUGCUUCCCAGAACUCAUCACAUCCGCUCUCUGUGUCAGCCGCACAGCACUGUGGCUACUGUUCGGGACGGCUUGACUCGUCCUCCACGACCUUGCUGUUUUGCAAACAGACCAGUGACAGUCCCACCCGAGCGCCUUUGCAUUCCUGUUCUGCCCACCUGGAUCACAUCUGUUGUGUGACAUUGCUUGAGGAGACGUGAACAAAACGUCUCUCCACCCCAGAUAAGGCAGAUCAGAAAGAAAAGAGUCCACGGAAAUGUAGCCUGGCUAAUGGGUGAUGGUGAAAUGUUGGUGGAGACCAUCUCCUGCCUACACCUGGAUUUGUGUCUUGCCCCUCUCCAGGAGCAGAGUGGACCUGCUGUAGAGACUACAAACAGGAGGCCUGGCCUACCACAGGACCUGCUCAAGCAAGAACACCUACUACAGAGAGGCUCCUGCUCUGCAUUGCCUUUACCUAGUAUUGCACCACAAGUGUCUUUCUUCUCCUCAUUAGGCAUUCUGAAUCAAGGUGUUUUGUGAGCACUCUAUAAGGACGGGCUUAUUAACCUAUGUUAGUAACCUACUUCCUAUGUUGGGAAAGCUCGGCACGCCCAGUUGUUUUGCAGCUGGCCGGUACCAUAUUCUUUGCAAGGACCAGCGGCACGAACUCCCGCAUCUCCUGUGGUGUCCACUGCACCACUUCCUGAAACAGUGUCAGUUACUCCCAAGCUUACAGAAGUUAUGAAGAGACACACCAGGCCGCAGCAAGGCGAAGACGAAGGGCAAAGGCCGGGCGGGAAUCACCCCAGUCCCUUGCAGCUGCAGACUUGGCCGAGCCGAGCCGAGCGCCGUCCCCACAGCGUUUGGCUUCACGUCAGCCGGCUCCUGUGUCCAGGUUCCUGCCCUGCGUGAGUUCCUGUCCUGACUUCCCUCGGUGAUGAACAGUGAUGUGAAAGUAGCACUCCGAGUCCCUGAAGAAGCAUUUAGGAAAGAGGCGGAGGGUUUUGUGAAGAGGACGUCCUUGAAGAAAGCUGUGCUGGGCAUCUCAUCUCAGGGACAGCUGAGUUCUUUGCUUCCUUAACUGAAGUUCUGUGAGGGAAAGGGUCAGCCUGCUGGGUGGACAGCUGGGUUCUGGGAAGCCAGACAGAGGGAGAAAGCUGCUGUGGGGGAGCCGCUGCCCCCUCAGUGGGGUCAGCCUCAUGUGCUUCCUGAGUAAUGCUAGGGUAUGUGAAGCAUAAACUAUUCUGGACAGAUUUGGGACCUGCAGUAAAAGAGAAUUGGCAUGGGUUCCUACCUUUCUCUCUGUGUAUGCAGACAUGGUCUCACACACACACACACACACACACACACACACACACACACACACACACACAUACACAUACGUGUAUGCAAACAUGCACACAAGCAGAUACAUGUAAGUGUCAAAGAGUAACUUCAAAUCUCUUCCCUUCCUCCACUUUCCGUCAGGGGAUGAGUUCAGCUCUCAGGCUUACAGUAAGCACUUUGCUGGAUGACCCUCUCACCCACCCCUCCCUUCCUGGAUGACCCCUCACCCACCCCUCCCUUUCUGGAUGACC